Molecule: long non-coding RNA, 1996 nt
Organism: Cherax quadricarinatus
Lineage: Eukaryota; Metazoa; Arthropoda; Malacostraca; Decapoda; Parastacidae
Source: RefSeq, a predicted model, not a curated record
AGAUCGUGGAGUUUGUUUACUCCAUGAUUAGUGCCGCCGCAGAAUUGCAGAUGACGAGGACCACCACGACCACCUCUCCUCGCCCCGAGCUUGAGUCGGGUCCUGACCGCCGUGGCAGUGACACUGGCCGCGGGGUCAACUGAGGUCAGUUAUGGGGUCAGCAAGACAGGUUUGUCUCAUCCUUCGCCACCUCAUAGCACAAGGGAUGGUAAAGGGUCGCUCUAACCUGUGAGUUUUAAGACUUGCUCGCCAUGGGUUCAAACCCCAACUGUUCCCUGAUUUGUUAAUAUUUCCAUAUGAAGAGCUAAAGCUGUAUGGGGAUCAUCCAGAGCAAACUGUAGUGCAGACUCGAUUCUCCUUGUGCUGAACGUGAAAAGCGCCCCAUUCUUAUUUGCAGACAUACAUAGAUGUCUGUCGCCAGUGUCAGGUGAAUGAAGGUCGACGGACACAGCUUUUUUGUCGCGAAUCAAGUUUUAGAGUCAAGACGCUUGAUGCAAAAUGUUGUUUUUUUGCGUCGAUCACACGACUCCUCCUCCCCUUCCCCAUCCCGGCACCUGAGUGUCUUCUAGCAGUCAAGACUUAUCAGUUCUGAGCACCACCAGACCACGACAACAUCAACGAUGCAUCAGUCCUAAGGAACCAUAACACCACGACAACAUCAAUAAUGCAUCAGUCCUGGAAACCAUAAAAGCAUCAUCAAUGCACCAGUCCUGAGCACCAUAACACCACGACUGCACCAAUGAUGCAUCAGUCCUGGGAACCACAUAAUCAAUGUAUCAGUCCUGGGAACCACAUCAUCAAUGUAUCAGUCCUGGGAACCACAUCAUCAAUGUAUCAGUCCUAGGAACCACAAGACCACGACAUAAUAUAAAGCUGACAACGAGUCUCAGCAAGCGCGCCGCUGGACUACCUAUGCCGUCUGUCACCGGGGUGUUAAGUCCAGUAAUGAGACGCUGAAACAGUUCCGGGAGUUGCAUCUGAGAGGUAGGCGAGGGAGAAGAGAGCAUCUUGGAGCGUGAGAGCCGUGGCUAGUGCCCCCCAACACUGAGGGGUCCCUGCGGUGUGAUCACCCCCAGAAUGUAAAUCAUCAAGUCGCCGGAAUAUCGAAGACAGUGGGUCGUGAAGGUGCAUAUUCAAUGAUGCUGGUGAAUAUGGAACGAAUGGCGUUGGGUGUAUACGGUAUGAGAGAGGGGCGAGCCAGUGAGCCAGGAGGACCUGGUCAGGACAGGCUGGAGCAGCGGCAGCAGCCGCUGACUCCUGUAGGCGACGCUGACGGCCGCGCUGACGGCAGCGCUACCCAGCAACGUAAACAGUGUAAAUGUUUUUACAUGCACCGAGGUGUGGUGUAUGGUGCCGGGAGGCAGUGUGUGCUGAGUUACAGCAAUACAGGAAGUCCACCCGCGGCGCAGAAAGAAAUAAAUCGCUGAAAUUAUCGCCAUUAGCACACAGUUGAGAGCGUAAAAUGCAGUGUUGUGAGGCAGAGAGAGAAAAGUGGAGAAUACCAAGUAGCUGGUGAGUGACAGGUGACAUAUAACAGCCCGCGACUGUCAUGUGUCAUGCCAUGACGAGUGUUGUGUCGCCAAGGACACCAAACUGCAACACUGGAAACACCUUGACAGUUUGUCUUUAGACAGAGAGAAGCUUUUACUGAGCCCGAGGUAUUCGUUAAUCGUUCAAGAAGUGAGUCUGACACCUGAGUCUGAUACCUGAGUCUGACACCUGUGUUUCCACUUGCCCCACAAGUCUAAAUUACAGUUUCAAGUCCUUCACUCUACCAUUCCUUCUUCUCCACCAUUCUACCAUAGUCUCCUCCCAGAUGGUAACCUAACCUCCCAAGGUGAUCCAAGCUCACCUCAGCUGAUCCAAGCUCACCUCAGCUGAUCCAAGCUCACCUCAGCUGAUCUAAGCUCACCUCAGCUGAUCCAAGCUCACCUCAGCUGAUCUAAGCUCACCUUAGCUGAUCCAAGCUCACCUCAGCUGAUCUAAGCUCACCUUA